Molecule: long non-coding RNA, 9427 nt
Filed under: Coffea arabica (coffee)
Lineage: Eukaryota; Viridiplantae; Streptophyta; Magnoliopsida; Gentianales; Rubiaceae
Description: long non-coding RNA (CARA_LNC005612)
Source: RNAcentral
GGUGACCUCGGCACCACCCACUUCAGCCGCACGCUGAUGAGGUCACGGCCCCUGACAUCACCCAGGUCCAGUGCUUUAUCUGAAAAGCACUGGAGACUCUUAAUGGAACCUGCUCAAUACUCUCCGUCAUCACACUCAGGCGGCUACAGUGUCAGAGUCAGGCCUCCUGACACGGGACAGAGCCGUAAUGACCAGAAAAUGGGUCCCACCAGCAUGAGCUCUCCGCUCUGUCCUCUACCCUCCUAUAAAUACCCCACAUACACUCCUAGCAAGUAAGCAUACACUGUUCAUUUGCUCAUACUCUAGCAUAUUUCUCGUUCUCAUACUAACUUGAUCGUCGGAGUGAUCCCAGGGGAGAAACCCCGCCAUUCACUUCGGACAAGGAGGUUGACUUCGGAUCCAGGAGUUCACCUCACCUCAUCUCAGAGAGGACUGAUUCAGGUCGGUUCAGCUACCAACCAAAAAUCGCCUCUUCAAUUGGCGCCGUCUGUGGGAAAGAGAUAGCUAUUAAAAUGAGAUCCACGCGCUCCAGAAGCGGAAGAGUUCCCUCAACUGGGGCUGGGCAGACCUCGGGUGCCCAGCAAGACCGCAUAUCUGAAGAGCCAGGGUCCCAAAGGACCCAGCCCAACAAUGAGGACGCCAUCGCCAAGAUGGCCGAGUUUGUAUCAGACAACCCUAACAUUUUUGAGGAGCUAGGAAGGUACCUCAAAAGGCAGGGAAAAGAAAAAGCCGAGUCUUCCAAGAGGAGACCGACGAAGUCCCCUGAAGUGCCCUCAGGCGAGGACUCCGAAGAUGGGCGUCUAUCUCGGAGCACCUCCAGGCGAGUCUCAUCCAAGGCAACCUCCAAGAUUGCCUCCAUCUCCCGAGCGUUUUCUCGGGGACUACUGGGAAAACGAGCCGAGGACCCACCUCGGCGUCCCGGAGGCCUAGCUUCUGAUUACAUGAGGGCUCCGCCCUUCACUGAUGACAUCAACGGGGAAAUGGUGCCCCCGAACUUUAAGCUUCCAAAUUUGCACACCUAUGACGGUCGAGGUGACCCCGAGGAUCACCUCCGCGCCUUCAUCUCCGCAUUCCGACUCUACUGCGUCCCCGACGCCGUGAUCUGUCGGGCUUUCCCCAUCUUCCUGCACGGGACCGCCCGGAAGUGGUUCUGGAGUUUAGAACCGGGGAGCAUUACCUCUCUGGAUGAGCUGAUAGACCGGUUCAUCCACCGCUUUGUGUCGUCUCGACCAAUAACGAAAACUUCAGCUUACCUCUUGAACCUGCAACAGGGUCAGGGCGAGUCACUUCGCUCGUACGCCCAAAGGUUCAACGAGGAGAAUGUACAGAUACCUGACCAGAACGAGCAAGUAACUAUUGCUGCCUUCACCAACGGGUUAGUAGCAGGGAUCUUUAACACCGAAAUCCAUCGGCAGUACCCCCGUACACUCCGGGAGCUCUGGGAAAGAGUGGACCAGGGAAUCCGAAGUGAAGAUGUAAAUCGCAUGAAGCGAGAAGCCCAAGCAUCUCGUACGGGGCAAGAUCUCCGGAGGAGGAAAGACACUGGCCGAGGUGAACCAGGCCCAAGUGGCACUUCAAACCAACCCCGAGACCGCCGAAGUGUCUUCGACCGAAUCGUGAAAGGCAGAUCGUCCACCUCGGACGCCGAGCUGACGCCCCUCAAUUCGAGCCGGACCCACGUCCUGGCUGUGAUGAGGCAGAAUCACCUCGGCCGCAACCCUCCCGAAAUUCCGGGGAGGAGAGAUAAGAGGAACUCGAACCUCUACUGUGCCUACCACCGUGAUGUAGGGCACGAGACUGAAGACUGCAAUGACCUGAAGCGGGAAAUCGAAAAUUUGAUCCGGCAGGGAUACCUGAAGCAAUUCGUCCGCAAGGAUGGAGGCUUCAACCGAAGCGUCUCCCACCGGGAGAACCGAGGCCCCCGCCGAGACGACCGACGGGACACGAACAUGCAUUGCCGAGGUCCCGAAGACCGUAGGGAGGACAAGCAGCCCCCGCGCGAUGGCUCACCGGGCUACGGCCCCAACAUCGCCGGGGUGAUCAACACCAUCGCGGGAGGACCAACGGGAGGAGACAGCCAGAACUCCCGGAAGCGGACCUACCGCCAGGCCGAGAUGGAGGUGGCCGAGCCGAGCUCUCGGCUGUCUGAGGUCAUCACCUACGGUCCCGCUGACCCCGUUCCUGCGGCCUCCAGCAAUCAUGAAGCUCUUGUGAUCGAAGUCCUCACCAACAACUACGUAGUCAAAAAGGUCUACGUAGACCCCGGAAGCUCGGUAGACGUCCUGUACUACCGGACUUUCGAAAGUUUGAAACUGACCAGGGAGCAACUCACUCCUGUCAGGACUCCCCUCGUGGGAUUCGGGGGACACGUCGUCCACCCGGAAGGCAUGUUGACCCUGGUGGUGACAAUCGGGCGUCAUCCACGCUGCCGAACUGUGCCUGUCAGUUUUGCGGUGGUCAAAGCAGACUCCCCCUACAAUAUGCUGAUAGGCCGGCCCACGCUCAAUGCCUUGAGAGCCGUAUACUCCACCUACCACCUGAGCUUUAAAUUCCCAACAUCUGCGGGGGUGGCCGAGGUAAGCAGCGAUGUGGGCGCCGCCCGGGAGUGCUACCUCGCCACCAUUCAAGCAGCAGUCACCCCCCGGCCCUCACCGAGGUCAGAAGAAAAGAGGCCAGCGGUCCUCUCCAUAGACUGCAUCGACCCUCAGAAGGCAGAAGAGCCCAACAGGCUGGAGCCCGGGGAUGAGGUGGAACUGGUGGUCGUGGAUGAAGCGAAACCUGACCAAGUGGUCCAAGUAGGGGCGGGACUCCCCCCACCCCUGAAAGAAGAAAUGAUCUCCCUGAUCAAAGACCACCGAGACGUCUUCGCGUGGUCCGCGGAUGAAGUGGUCGGAGUGCCACCCGAGCUCAUGACUCACCAACUCAACGUUGACCCGCAGGCCCGACCUGUGCGACAGAAACGAAGGCACUUCGGCCCCGAACGUAGCCAAGCCAUAUCGGAUGAGGUCGACAAGCUCUUGCCGGCCAAGAUGAUCCACGAGGUCCAAUACCCCACCUGGCUGUCCAAUCCAGUCAUGGUAAAAAAGGACACCGGGGGAUGGAGAAUGUGUGUCGACUUCACCGACCUCAACAAGGCCUGCCCCAAAGAUUGCUAUCCUCUGCCAAGGAUAGACGCCCUCGUCGACGCGGCGAUGGGGUAUGAAAUCCUCUGCUUCCUAGAUGCCUUCAAAGGGUAUCAUCAAAUAGGAAUGAGUGAGGAGGACCGAGAGAAAACGGCGUUCUACACCGACCGAGGUACUUAUUGUUACACUACCAUGCCCUUCGGGCUAAAGAACGCCGGGGCGACCUACCAAAGGCUGAUCAACCGACUCUUCCAGAAUCAGAUCGGCCGCAAUGUGGAGGCCUAUGUGGAUGACAUCCUCGUUAAAAGCCUCGCCACUUCAUCCUUUCUGUCAGACGUGAGGGAAGUCUUUGGUGUCCUGCGAGACUCGAGGAUGAAGCUGAAUCCCAAGAAGUGCGUCUUCGGCGUCACCUCGGGAAAAUUCUUGGGGUAUCUGGUUUCCCACCGGGGAAUCGAGGCCAACCCCGACAAGGUGAAAGCCAUUCAGGACAUGUCUCCACCUCGGAACAUCCGAGAAGUCCAACGGCUAAAUGGACGCCUGGCCGCGCUGAAUCGCUUCCUGUCCCAAUCAGCUGAGAAAGCUCUGCCUUUCUUUAAGGUGCUGAAAAAUGCUGACCAGUUCGCCUGGACUGAGGAGUGUCAGGCUGCUUUCGACCAGCUGAAGCAGUACUUGCAUCACCUACCAACUCUCGCUUCACCUCGGCCCGAGGAGAAGCUCUACCUCUACCUCUCCGCAGCCGACGAGGCUGUCAGCGCUGUGCUCAUCCGAGAUGAGGGCACCCAAGUGCCGGUCUACUACGUCAGCCGAGCCCUCCGCGGGCCGGAGACCCGAUACACGCAAGUGGAAAAACUUGUGCUGGGGCUCGUCCACGCAGCUCGGCGGUUGAAACCCUACUUCUUAGCCCAUCCCAUCUCGGUCAGGACCGACCAGCCCAUUCGGCAAAUAUUGGUGCGACCCGAAGCUUCUGGUCGCCUCACCAAGUGGGCUGUCGAAUUGGGAGAAUAUGACUUGUCCUACGAGCCACGCACCGCCAUAAAAGCUCAAGCUUUAGCUGACUUCCUUGCUGAACUCACCUUCACGGAAGGUCCGGAGUCCACUUCAGCCUUACCCGAGGUGUCCACCUCAUCCCUGUGGACAUUGUAUGUCGAUGGAUCCUCUAAUGGAGAAGGCUGCGGAGCCGGACUGCUCCUGGAAGGACCUCAGGGGGAGGUUUGCUCUUACGCCCUCCGCUUUGACUUCCCGGCCACCAACAAUGAAGCCGAGUACGAGGCUCUAAUCGCUGGACUCCAGCUAGCCCGCAACCUCGGCGCCCAGCAAAUCCACGUCCGCAGUGACUCCCAACUCGUGGUACGCCAAGUUAUUGGUGAGUACGAGGCCAAGGAUGAGACCAUGCAACGGUACCUCUCCAAAGUUCACCAACUCACCGCGUACUUCAAGUCAUUCGAAAUCCAAAGGAUCCCUCGGUCCCAGAAUAAGCGAGCCGACGCCUUAUCCCGGCUGGCUUCCACUUCAUUCUCUGACCUCAACAAAACCGUCUUGGUGGAGGUCCUGAGUGAACCAGGGUACGUGGAAGAGGUGGCCUACCCCGUGCACUCUGAAGAAACUUGGAUGACCCCGUUCAUCCUUUUCUUGGGUCAAGGAGUCCUUCCCGAAGACCGAGCUGAAGCAAGGAAGAUACAACGCAAAGCCGCUCGGUAUGCACUCCGCGAUGGAGAACUAUAUAAGCGCUCCUACCUCGGCCCAUGGUUGAGGUGUGUCACCCCCGAGGCAGGACGCGAGGCCCUCCACGAGAUCCAUGAGGGCCUAUGUGGGGCUCACAUCGGCCACAGGAUGCUAGCUAAGAAAGCUAUGCUCCUGGGAUAUUUCUGGCCAUCACUUCGGCAAGACUCCCAGGACCUCGUUCUCGGCUGCCCUUCCUGCCAAGUCCACGCACCCGAGCGCCACCAGCCUUCAAACUUCAUGGUCCCCAUCACUUCACCCUGGCCGUUUGAGCAAUGGGGGACAGACAUCAUAGGUCCCUUCCCCAAAGCCGUCGGGGGUUAUACAUUCUUAGUAACCGCUGUGGAUUACUUCACCAAGUGGGUCGAGGCCGAGCCACUUCGGACCAUCUCAGGGCUGGCCAUUCAAAAAUUCUUUUGGAAGUGCAUUAUCUGCCGCUUCGGCAUACCGCGGGUCAUCAUCUCGGACAAUGGGAGACAGUUUGCCGAGAACCCGUUCAAGACUUGGUGCGAGAACCUCGGCAUCAAACAACACUUCACUUCGGUAGGCCACCCCCAGGCCAAUGGUCAAGCAGAAAACUUCAACCGGACUCUUCUACAUGGUCUCAGGACCCGACUACACCGAGCUGGGUCGUCUUGGGUGGAGGAACUCCCCAGUGUCCUGUGGUCGUAUCGGACCACGCCGAGGUCAGCGACGCAAGAGACCCCAUUCUCCCUGACCUACGGCGCCGAGGCAGUCAUCCCGGCUGAGAUCCUUACCCCCAGCCCUCGGCUGGCAGCCUAUGCCGCCGAGGUGAACGACGAAGAGAGGCAGCUGGACCUCGACCUCGUCGAAGAACGAAGGAACCUCGCCUCAGCCCGGAUAGCUUCUUACAAGAACACACUGGCACACUACUACAAUGCCCGCGUGAGACAUCGUAGAUUCCAACCUGGAGACUUGGUUCUUAGAAAAAACUCAGUCAGCCGAGCUGAACCGCAAGGGAAAUUAUGCCCGAAAUGGGAAGGCCCUUACCGAGUUGUGGAAUCUGACCCUAAGGGGUAUUGUAAACUGAGUUACCGAGAUGGCUCAUUAGUGCCGAGGUCGUGGCACGCCGAGAACCUCAGAUUGUAUUACGCCUGAAUUUUUAAUCAAGUAAUGACUUCAGCUAUUAUGUUAUUCUUCAAUAUCGUUGUUACGCUAUUAAAAAAUAAGGGGGACAAGCAAGGGAUGAAGUCAAAGCAAGAAAUUAAAGCACUGAGACGAGAAGAAAUAUGCUUUCAUUCAAUAAGAAAGAGCGUUACAAAAGUACAAGGCCGAGGUCCGAAUGCUACUAAGCACUCUCCACCUCGGCCACCCCCUUAAAACCGCGAAGCCUAGACCCCCGUCUCGGCUCCAUCCCCGGUCUUGGCUCCCUCCUGGGCAUCCUUCUCUUCGGCCUCUUUUCCGCCGGGGUGAACUUCAUCUCCAUGCUCUUUGCCAACGUCCCCUCCGGCUUCGUCUCCCUCAGCGUCCUCUCCUCCAGCUUCUUCCACUUCCACGUCCUCGAACACUUCGUCGAGUUCGGACAGCCACUUGUUGAACUCGACCUGAACUUCGGCCAGAUUCCUUCCUGCCUGAAUGCCUUCGGCCAUCCGAUCGCAUAACUCCUUGGAGUCCUCAUUGUAGCUGGUAUGGUUUUUUAAGGACUCCAAGGCCUCGGAGGAGAGGUGAGCUGCGGCCUCGUCAACGGCCGAUGUGAAGCCAAACAUGAAGUUAGGCGUAAGUAGUUGGCCGAGGUCCUUGAUGAAGGCCUCGGACUUCCGAAAAGCGUCUACGGCCGAGGCUCCGGCACCCUCGAGAGCUUGCUCGUGGGACGCCUUCACCUCGUCCCCCCUCUUCUGCUCCUCUUCGAGGGCCGAUCGGAGACUGUUGAUAGUAGCCGCGGCCUCCUCAUCCUUCACCUCGGCCUCCUUAAGCCGCCUUUCAAGCUCGGCCUUUUCAGACUCAGACACCAACUGUUUUUUCUCCAACUUGGAGAUUUGAUUCUGCAACUUGCCGGUGUCCUGUUCCUCGACCAGAGCACAGUAGCGGUGUGCCAUCUCGGCCACAAAGGCCGAGGUGGAAGCUGUGGACACCAUGAGACUUUGAACCAUCUCGGCCGGGCUCAGCUUCUUCAUGAACUCCAAGUCCCUCGGCAAGGGGGAGUGCAUCACUAGUUCUUGGGCAACUCGAGGAUGCUGGCACCUGUCGUUGACCGAAAUUUUCCAGUCCGGACACCAAUGCCCGCCGGGGUGCGUCUUAUCGUCUCCGGGAAACACUGGGGGGCUAUGGAAACGAUUCCAUAGCGAGGUCCCCGACACCGGAUUAACUGGAGGCUUCAGCUGCUUGCCUCGGCCAGGAGGAGGUGUGACUGUUGUAACAACUCCAAGGGGAACUCCCUCUGGCACAGACGAGGUGGACCCCGUAGCCGCCGUGGCCGAGCUGCUCUGGCCAACCUUGGUGGGAGUGCCUUUAGACGCCGAAGUCUUAGCGACUGGUCCUUGUGACUUCUUCUUCUUUGGCGAAGGUGCCGAUGUCUCGUCAGUGCUCUUCCUCUUCUGCCUCUUGGCCACUUCGGACGAGCCAGAGACGACGAGGUCGGACAGUUUAGUCACUGCACAAAAAUAAAUAUUAUCAUAUGUCUUAACCGAAGUGAAAGCAAAGCUACGAAAGAAAAAUUACAAGGUAUCUCAAGUUCGGUGGAAAGGAAGGAGGGCUUGGUAGUAUUGAUCACGGCUCGACUUAUCCCCCCAUCCACGAGCACGGCUUCAGGGUAGUCAUGGCUGAACAGCCGAAGUCCCGACUUCAUCAACUUCUGGAAGGAUUCCUCUUCGGCAUCCCCCGCAGAGGGGUCGGCCUUCGCCUUAAUUGCCCUCCACCAAAAACCCCUCGGGAAGUCCACUCCGGACACGAAGAAGUAGUCGCGCUUCCAGUUCUUGAUCGAGCUGGGAGCACCGAUCACCAACUUCGGGAUAGCAUUGUUUCGAUUGCCAACAUAAAACCAUCCUUUAUCCGUCCCGUGUGCCUUGAGAGUAUAGCAUCGGCGGAAGAGGUCGACGGAGGGAGUCACCUCCUGAUGUCGGCACAGCAUCUCGAACCCCACAAUGAUGCGGACCGCAUUCGGGGCAAGCUGGGUGAUCCUCACGUGGAAGUGACGAAGUACGUCCCGGAGGAACCUCGACGUCGGCAUCCUCAGCCCGGCCUCCAGCUGUUGAACGUAGACAGCCACCAUGCCAAAGGGGGGGUUCGCGGCUGUGUCAUUCGCCUCGGGCGGCAGAAUUUCGUACCCCAACCGGAAAGGGUACCUGUUUAUCACCUUCGUGGCCAUGUCCCUUCCUAUACGACUUCUAAACUUCGGCAUCUGACCGAAGUCGAUGUUGUCCACGUCCUUUGGAGCGACUGGCUCCAGGACACCCUCGUCAUGAGGUAUCUCGGUCCCGAGCUCGGUAUCGUAUUCGACCUCGGAACCACCCUCGCUGAUCUCGGACGACUCCAACUCCAAGCCCGUCACGUCGGCUCUCACCUCGGCUGAUCCUUCCUCAGAACCCUGCGUCGACCCCUCAGAGCUGGACGUCGUCGCUUCUUCCUCAGGAUCCGGCCUCACCUCGGUCUGGUAGCUCGGGGUCACAGUUUCUUUAUGGGUCUUAGCGGUUUUGGCCAUGAGUGAAAGACGAUAUGAAGAGAAAGAAAGAUACUUACUAUUGACUACGAUCUCGGACGAAGACGAUGACUUCGGCUGUGAUCUCGGCUAAUGGAUUGACUUCGGCUACACUCGCGAAUUUUGUAAGUUACAAGCGAAGAAAGAGAGUGAUGGGCCACACGAUGAAAGGGACCCCCUAUUUAUAGGGGAGAGCCAGAACCCGAAGAGGCAGCCAGAAUACGAAAAGGCGGCAACGAUUCGAAUUCAGGAUACCGUGUACCUGCCCUUCUGUCCAUCUCUCCUCAUUUAAUGCCCGUCCUUUCGGCUGACACCCUCUGCACGAAACGUCCCACCACUUCACGACGCGACGGUUACCUCUGACCACGUCCUGUCAACUGACUCGACCACGUGUCAAGUCCCCGCAUCUUCCGGAGCAGUCUCAGGACCCCGACUCUUCAUGACUUCGGCACAAGGAAGCCUCGGCACCUCUCAGUCCCGGAGCACCCGAGGCUUGGGGGGCUUAUUGAGGAUGCUCACCUCGGCCAUCCUGCGUGUCCGAGGUGAACUCACCUCGUCCCUUAUCAGAGCUCAUCCGUAUCUUGGGCAUAACCCCUGAGCUCGGCCACUUCCCUAGCCUACCGUGUAGGUGACCUCGGCACCACCCACUUCGGCCGCACGCUAAUGAGGUCACGGCCCCUGACAUCACCCAGGUCCAGUGCUUUAUCUGAAAAACACUGGAGACUCUUAAUGGAACCUGCUCAAUACUCUCCGUCAUCACACUCAGGCGGCUACAGUGUCAGAGUCAGGCCUCCUGACACGGGACAGAGCCGUAAUGACCAGAGAAUGGGUCCCACCAGCAUGAGCUCUCCGCUCUGUCCUCUACCCUCCUAUAAAUACCCCACAUACACUCCUAGCAAGUAAGCAUACACUGUUCAUUUGCUCAUACUCU